GAUGAACGCUAGCGGCAGGCUUAACACAUGCAAGUCGAGGGGCAGCGCGGGAUAGCAAUAUCCUGGCGGCGACCGGCGGAAGAGUGCGUAACGCGUGAGCGACAUGCCCGUUGCCCGGGGACAACCGGUGGAAACGCCGACUAAUCCCCGAUGGGAUAUUGUGCCGCAUGGCACGAUAUUGAAAGUUACGGCGGCGACGGAUUGGCUCGCGUCCGAUUAGCUUGUUGGCGGGGUAACGGCCCACCAAGGCUGCGAUCGGUAGGGGUUCUGAGAGGAAGGCCCCCCACAAUGGGACUGAGACACGGCCCAUACUCCUACGGGAGGCAGCAGUGAGGAAUAUUGGACAAUGGGCGGAAGCCUGAACCAGCCAUGCCGCGUGCGGGAAGGAGGCCCUAUGGGCUGUGAACCGCUUUUGCCUGGGGGCAAUAAGGGCGUCGCGCACGUCCGAUGAGAGUACCAGGCGAAUAAGCAUCGGCUAACUCCGUG
RNAcentral lists this ribosomal RNA (486 nucleotides) under uncultured bacterium. Its description in RNAcentral is "partial 16S ribosomal RNA". It matches the Rfam family "Bacterial small subunit ribosomal RNA", at positions 28 to 507 of the family's 1533-position model. The record is from RNAcentral.